RNAcentral lists this long non-coding RNA (591 nucleotides) under Homo sapiens (human). RNAcentral describes it as "HSALNT0375529". The record is from RNAcentral. Lineage: Eukaryota; Metazoa; Chordata; Mammalia; Primates; Hominidae.
CUGCAAUUUCUGCAAGAUCGGCUUGACUUCUUCCUCUUCAUCAGCCAUCAUCUCCCGGCCACUCCACCCCCAACUUUAUAACCACAGAGACGCACGCCCUCUCUCACCGCGGAACCACAGCGACAUCUGGCGUUCUGGAGGCUUUUCUGCCCCAGAAGGGCUUUGCUUCAAACCGACUUAACCAUUUAUUUCCACAGAGAUGCUCUACAAUCACUUACAACAUCCAGAAGGAUAUAUAAGAAAGGAUGACUGUCUCUGCAGAGGGAAACACAGAAACUGGGGAACUGUGGGUGAGCGAAGAAAAUUUUCACUGCCUGCCCUUUUGAAUUUUCUUGCCAUCUAUAUGUAUCACCUAUUCAAAUAUAAACAUUUUUAAAUAAAAAAUUAUUUGCUUCUACAUAGUCUCUGGAAAGAGACACAAGACACUGGCAAGACUAUCGCUUACAAAGAGCAGAAGUGAGUGGCUGGAGCAAAAAUGAGUGACCAGGGAACUGGGGUAGACUUUUCACUCUAUGCCUUUUUUGUAACUUUAAAGUUUGUACCUUGUGAAUAUAUUAAACUUCUGAAUAAAUCUUUUAAAGUGUCAUGUAA